UGGGGAAUAUUGCACAAUGGAGGAAACUCUGAUGCAGCGAUGCCGCGUGAGGGAAGAAGGUUUUAGGAUUGUAAACCUCUGUCUUCAGGGACGAAAAAAGGACGGUACCUGAGGAGGAAGCUCCGGCUAACUACGUGCCAGCAGCCGCGGUAAUACGUAGGGGGCGAGCGUUGUCCGGAAUUACUGGGUGUAAAGGGAGCGUAGGCGGGAUCGCAAGUCAGAUGUGAAAACUAUGGGCUUAACCCAUAAACUGCAUUUGAAACUGUGGUUCUUGAGUGAAGUAGAGGUAAGCGGAAUUCCUAGUGUAGCGGUGAAAUGCGUAGAUAUUAGGAGGAACAUCAGUGGCGAAGGCGGCUUACUGGGCUUUAACUGACGCUGAGGCUCGAAAGCGUGGGGAGCAAACAGGAUUAGAUACCCUGGUAGUCCACGCCGUAAACGAUGAUUACUAGGUGUGGGGGGACUGACCCCUUCCGUGCCGCAGCAAACGCAAUAAGUAAUCCACCUGGGGAGUACGACCGCAAGGUUGAAACUCAAAGGAAUUGACGGGGGCCCGCACAAGCAGUGGAGUAUGUGGAUUAAUUCGAAGCAACGCGAAGAACCUUACCAGGUCUUGACAUCGUAUGCAUAGCUCAGAGAUGAGUGAAAUCUCUUCGGAGACAUAUAGACAGGUGGUGCAUGGUUGUCGUCAGCUCGUGUCGUGAGAUGUUGGGUUAAGUCCCGCAACGAGCGCAACCCUUACUGUUAGUUGCUACGCAAGAGCACUCUAGCAGGACUGCCGUUGACAAAACGGAGGAAGGUGGGGAUGACGUCAAAUCAUCAUGCCCCUUAUGACCUGGGCCUCACACGUACUACAAUGGCUGUAAACAGAGGGAAGCAAAGCCGCGAGGUAGAGCGAACCCCUAAAAGCAGUCUUAGUUCGGAUUGUAGGCUGCAACCCGCCUACAUGAAGUCGGAAUUGCUAGUAAUCGCAGAUCAGCAUGCUGCGGUGAAUACGUUCCC
Molecule: ribosomal RNA, 999 nt
Filed under: uncultured organism
Description: bacterial SSU rRNA
Rfam family: Bacterial small subunit ribosomal RNA
Source: RNAcentral